GGUACCUCCUGUGGGUCUGUCCUCAUCCCCCUGUGGGUCUGUCCUCAUCCCCCCAGGUCUACAGUCUGGUACCUCCUGUGGGUCUGUCCUCAUCCCCCCAGGUCUACAGUCUGGUACCUCCUGUGGGUCUGUCCUCAUCCCCCCAGGUCUACAGUCUGGUACCUCCUGUGGGUCUGUCCUCAUCCCCCCAGGUCUACAGUCUGGUACCUCCUGUGGGUCUGUCCUCAUCCCCCCAGGUCUACAGUCUGGUACCUCCUGUGGGUCUGUCCUCAUCCCCCCAGGUCUACAGUCUGGUACCUCCUGUGGGUCUGUCCUCAUCCCCCCUGGUCUACAGUCUGGUACCUCCUGUGGGUCUGUCCUCAUCCCCCCAGGUCUACAGUCUGGUACCUCCUGUGGGUCUGUCCUCAUCCCCCCAGGUCUACAGUCUGGUACCUCCUGUGGGUCUGUCCUCA
Molecule: long non-coding RNA, 452 nt
Organism: Oncorhynchus keta (chum salmon)
Lineage: Eukaryota; Metazoa; Chordata; Actinopteri; Salmoniformes; Salmonidae
Exons: 4
Source: RefSeq, a predicted model, not a curated record